GAGUUUGAUCCUGGCUCAGGAUGAACGCUGGCGGCGUGCCUAAUACAUGCAAGUCGAGCGAACAGAUAAGGAGCUUGCUCCUUUGAAGUUAGCGGCGGACGGGUGAGUAACACGUGGGUAACCUACCUAUAAGACUGGGAUAACUUCGGGAAACCGGAGCUAAUACCGGAUAACAUUUAGAACCGCAUGGUUCUAAAGUGAAAGAUGGUUUUGCUAUCACUUAUAGAUGGACCCGCGCCGUAUUAGCUAGUUGGUAAGGUAACGGCUUACCAAGGCGACGAUACGUAGCCGACCUGAGAGGGUGAUCGGCCACACUGGAACUGAGACACGGUCCAGACUCCUACGGGAGGCAGCAGUAGGGAAUCUUCCGCAAUGGGCGAAAGCCUGACGGAGCAACGCCGCGUGAGUGACGAAGGGUUUCGGCUCGUAAAACUCUGUUAUUAGGGAAGAACAAAUGUGUAAGUAACUGUGCACAUCUUGACGGUACCU
This 489-nucleotide ribosomal RNA is filed under the name uncultured bacterium. RNAcentral's name for it is "bacterial SSU rRNA". It matches the Rfam family "Bacterial small subunit ribosomal RNA", at positions 9 to 480 of the family's 1533-position model. The record is from RNAcentral.